This is a long non-coding RNA of Hirundo rustica (Barn swallow), 1139 nucleotides long. RefSeq lists it as uncharacterized. NCBI's taxonomy places the organism in Eukaryota, Metazoa, Chordata, Aves, Passeriformes, Hirundinidae. The transcript has 4 exons. The record is from RefSeq and is a predicted model, not a curated record.
UCUCCUUGGACCAGAGUUGGGUUAAGAUGCUCCUUUUUAAAUGAGGUCAUCUUAUAAUAUUCCUUGUUGCCUAUGUUUUUUCCUCUUGCUCUGUUUUCAAGUGCAUUCUUGCACUUCAAGAAGAUGGAGAUGUAUUCUGGAUGAAGGAUGUCUGUGAGGCAGAGCUGCUGAUGUUCUCCAUUAGGUCAGGCAAUGUGUGGGGUUUGCCAGUCUCUGCAAGCAGAAAACACAGCCACUGCCCCUGGGAGGAUGAAGAAUACAGCUGCCACUGGAAAAAUACCUUGUCUUCUCGCAGGAUGCAGCCUUCAGUUCUGGCUACCCAUCAAAAUAUAUCCAUGAAACAGAGAAUGCCUUAAAAACAGUGAACACAAGGAGGCCCAGCAGUGGUGCCCCUGCCUCAGUCCCUGCCCAGCCAGAGCUGCCAGGGAGUUUCAGAAGCCAAGUGAAACGGCCAGCAUGGCCUGAGAGUGCAACGGGAACACGGCAAAAAUCAUCUUUGUAGCCACCAUGAUGUUCAGUGGCUGCUGCACCAGAGAGACCACUGAGAGGAGCAAGGUGGAGUGAGAAUUGUGCAUGUCUGUUAAAAAAGGCUUGCUAAUAACAGCGCCUCCUCCCAGACAGUCACAAAUUGACAGCCGGUGGAAUUUACAAAUAUGCUAGGUCUGGUCAAGUUCAAGAAGAGAUUGAACAGUCCAGAUAAUGGAAUGGUCCAGUUUAUUCUAGCAAUAACUAAGAAGGGUUGGGAUUGCUGAGUGCACUAACGUGAAGGUAUUAAAAUAUAUUUAGUAAAAGCAGCGACUAGAGUGUCCCAAUGUCUAUAGGAAAUUCACUGACUAGAGGUCCUAAUCUGUAUAGUAAAUGCACUAGUUGCAGGGUACUAGUAAGUAUAGAAAAGGGCACUAAUGACCAGGCAUUAGUAUAUAGUUAAAUGCGCUAAAUACGGGACAUUAAUAUAUACAGGGUGUGUCAAGCGGCCCCCCAAAUGCAGCUCUGCAUGUGGGGAUCUCUUUCAACUGCUGUGGAUCAGCAGCUGUUUGAGUCGAUGUAGCAGACAAACGUACUCUUGCAUGGCCUUCCUGUGGGCAUCCGGAUUGCUCACCAGGUGCUGGAAGAGGUUGGGCAGUUUGGCCAGCCGGAAG